This 478-nucleotide ribosomal RNA is filed under the name uncultured bacterium. RNAcentral describes it as "partial 16S ribosomal RNA". It matches the Rfam family "Bacterial small subunit ribosomal RNA", at positions 28 to 507 of the family's 1533-position model. The record is from RNAcentral.
GACGAACGCUGGCGGCGUGCUUAACACAUGCAAGUCGAACGUGAUUUUUGUGGAAAUUCUUUCGGGAAUGGAAAUGAAAUGAAAGUGGCGAACGGGUGAGUAACACGUGAGCAACCUACCUUACACAGGGGGAUAGCCGUUGGAAACGACGAUUAAUACCGCAUGAGACCACAGAAUCGCAUGAUAUAGGGGUCAAAGAUUUAUCGGUGCAAGAAGGGCUCGCGUCUGAUUAGCUAGUUGGAAGGGUAAAGGCCUACCAAGGCGACGAUCAGUAGCCGGUCUGAGAGGAUGAACGGCCACAUUGGAACUGAGACACGGUCCAAACUCCUACGGGAGGCAGCAGUGGGGAAUAUUGCACAAUGGGGGGAACCCUGAUGCAGCGACGCCGCGUGAGCGAAGAAGGUUUUCGAAUCGUAAAGCUCUGUCCUAUGAGAAGAUAAUGACGGUAUCAUAGGAGGAAGCCCCGGCUAAAUACGUG